UUCCGGGUUUCGGGUUCGGGUUUUGAUAUAUCUACACGGGUUAUCUCACGGGUACCCGGAAAAUAUGAACAUUACAAAAAUACCCCUUAUUUUUAAUAUAUUUACAAAACUGCCAUUUCUAAACCUAACCCUAACCCUAAUUAUCUAACACUCUUGUCUCUCUCCUCGAUUUGGCUUUUCUGCGCCUCCUCUCUCGGUCUCUCUCACACUGUCGACCGUCGCCUGAAAUUGAGCUCCUCCUAUUCUCUUUCCGUCCGUCGUCGCCUGAGCUUCAGCCUCCAUCGUUGCCGUGCUCUCUGUUCGUCCGCCUCCUCUCUCUCGGUAAAAGCCUCUCCCUCGUCGCCUUGUGCUUCCGUCUUCUCCCUCGUCGCCUUGUGCUUCCGUCUUCUCCCUCGUCGCGAAUCUCUUUGUUCGACCGAGUUGGAAGCACUCUGUUCGUCCGCCUCCUUUUUCUCCAUCGUCGGUGCUCUCUUUCUCUCCCACGGUUCGACCGUCUCCGUCUCCAUCGUCUCUUCCUUGCUCCGCCUGUCUUCGCCGUCGCCGUUUUCUUUCUCUCCCUCGGUUCGUUUGUCUCCAUCUUCGCGGCUCUCUUUCUCUCCUCGGUUCAAUGUCUCCGUCUCCAUCCCAGUUGGAACCUCUCUGUUCGACCUUUUUUUCGACCGAGUUCUCUGUUAAGAUAUGUCUUCCAUGGCAGAUAACUCAAAUACAGAAGUAUUGAAUUUAUGGAUUUUAUUUUUGUAUGUUGAAUUUAUGGAUUUUAUGUUUCGGAUGUUGUUGAUGUACAGUUGUUU
This is a long non-coding RNA of Tarenaya hassleriana, 791 nucleotides long. RefSeq lists it as uncharacterized. The record is from RefSeq and is a predicted model, not a curated record. The transcript is spliced from 3 exons. Lineage: Eukaryota; Viridiplantae; Streptophyta; Magnoliopsida; Brassicales; Cleomaceae.